GAGUUUGAUCCUGGCUCAGCCUGAACGCUGGCGGCGUGGCUAAGACAUGCAAGUCGCACGGGUGUAGCAAUACACCAGUGGCGGACGGGUGAGUAAUGAAUCGCUAACGUGCCCCGGACUCUGGGAUAGCCAGCCGAAAGGCUGGGUAAUACCAGAUGACAUCACCUUCAGGCAUCUGAGGGUGCUCAAAGGUCCGCCGGUCUGGGAGCGGGCGAUUUCGUAUCAGCUAGUUGGUGAGGUAACGGCUUACCAAGGCGACGACGCGUAGCCGGACUGAGAGGUUGGCCGGCCACAUCGGGACUGAGACACUGCCCGGACUCCUACGGGGGGCUGCAGUAACGAAUCUUCCCCAAUGGGCGCAAGCCUGAGGGAGCGACGCCGCGUGGAGGAUGAAGUCCUUCGGGAUGUAAACUCCUGUCAGGGGUUACCAAGUUCUGAGGAUCCCCAGAGGAAGAGGCGGCUAACUCUGUGCCAGCAGCCGCGGUAAGACAGAGGCCUCGAGCGUUAGGCGGAAUCACUGGGCUUAAAGCGCGUGUAGGCGGAUCGUUAAGUGCCUUGUGAAAUCCCGCGGCUCAACCGCGGAACCGCUGGGCAUACUGGCGGUCUUGGGCCACUCAGGGGUCACUGGAACAAGCGGUGGAGCGGUGAAAUGCGUAGAUAUCGCUUGGAACGCCGAAGGUGAAGACAGGUGACUGGGGGUGUGCCGACGCUGAGACGCGAAAGCCAGGGGAGCAAACGGGAUUAGAUACCCCGGUAGUCCUGGCCCUAAACGAUGUCCACUGGAUCGCGGCGGUUUUGAC
Molecule: ribosomal RNA, 800 nt
Filed under: uncultured soil bacterium
Lineage: Bacteria
Description: bacterial SSU rRNA
Rfam family: Bacterial small subunit ribosomal RNA
Source: RNAcentral